This 2933-nucleotide ribosomal RNA is filed under the name Escherichia coli. RNAcentral describes it as "23S ribosomal RNA". It matches the Rfam family "Bacterial large subunit ribosomal RNA". The record is from RNAcentral. Lineage: Bacteria; Pseudomonadati; Pseudomonadota; Gammaproteobacteria; Enterobacterales; Enterobacteriaceae.
GGGUUGUGAGGUUAAGCGACUAAGCGUACACGGUGGAUGCCCUGGCAGUCAGAGGCGAUGAAGGACGUGCUAAUCUGCGAUAAGCGUCGGUAAGGUGAUAUGAACCGUUAUAACCGGCGAUUUCCGAAUGGGGAAACCCAGUGUGAUUCGUCACACUAUCAUUAACUGAAUCCAUAGGUUAAUGAGGCGAACCGGGGGAACUGAAACAUCUAAGUACCCCGAGGAAAAGAAAUCAACCGAGAUUCCCCCAGUAGCGGCGAGCGAACGGGGAGCAGCCCAGAGCCUGAAUCAGUGUGUGUGUUAGUGGAAGCGUCUGGAAAGGCGCGCGAUACAGGGUGACAGCCCCGUACACAAAAAUGCACAUGCUGUGAGCUCGAUGAGUAGGGCGGGACACGUGGUAUCCUGUCUGAAUAUGGGGGGACCAUCCUCCAAGGCUAAAUACUCCUGACUGACCGAUAGUGAACCAGUACCGUGAGGGAAAGGCGAAAAGAACCCCGGCGAGGGGAGUGAAAAAGAACCUGAAACCGUGUACGUACAAGCAGUGGGAGCACAGAGCAAUCUGUGUGACUGCGUACCUUUUGUAUAAUGGGUCAGCGACUUAUAUUCUGUAGCAAGGUUAACCGAAUAGGGGAGCCGAAGGGAAACCGAGUCUUAACUGGGCGUUAAGUUGCAGGGUAUAGACCCGAAACCCGGUGAUCUAGCCAUGGGCAGGUUGAAGGUUGGGUAACACUAACUGGAGGACCGAACCGACUAAUGUUGAAAAAUUAGCGGAUGACUUGUGGCUGGGGGUGAAAGGCCAAUCAAACCGGGAGAUAGCUGGUUCUCCCCGAAAGCUAUUUAGGUAGCGCCUCGUGAAUUCAUCUCCGGGGGUAGAGCACUGUUUCGGCAAGGGGGUCAUCCCGACUUACCAACCCGAUGCAAACUGCGAAUACCGGAGAAUGUUAUCACGGGAGACACACGGCGGGUGCUAACGUCCGUCGUGAAGAGGGAAACAACCCAGACCGCCAGCUAAGGUCCCAAAGUCAUGGUUAAGUGGGAAACGAUGUGGGAAGGCCCAGACAGCCAGGAUGUUGGCUUAGAAGCAGCCAUCAUUUAAAGAAAGCGUAAUAGCUCACUGGUCGAGUCGGCCUGCGCGGAAGAUGUAACGGGGCUAAACCAUGCACCGAAGCUGCGGCAGCGACGCUUAUGCGUUGUUGGGUAGGGGAGCGUUCUGUAAGCCUGUGAAGGUGUACUGUGAGGUAUGCUGGAGGUAUCAGAAGUGCGAAUGCUGACAUAAGUAACGAUAAAGCGGGUGAAAAGCCCGCUCGCCGGAAGACCAAGGGUUCCUGUCCAACGUUAAUCGGGGCAGGGUGAGUCGACCCCUAAGGCGAGGCCGAAAGGCGUAGUCGAUGGGAAACAGGUUAAUAUUCCUGUACUUGGUGUUACUGCGAAGGGGGGACGGAGAAGGCUAUGUUGGCCGGGCGACGGUUGUCCCGGUUUAAGCGUGUAGGCUGGUUUUCCAGGCAAAUCCGGAAAAUCAAGGCUGAGGCGUGAUGACGAGGCACUACGGUGCUGAAGCAACAAAUGCCCUGCUUCCAGGAAAAGCCUCUAAGCAUCAGGUAACAUCAAAUCGUACCCCAAACCGACACAGGUGGUCAGGUAGAGAAUACCAAGGCGCUUGAGAGAACUCGGGUGAAGGAACUAGGCAAAAUGGUGCCGUAACUUCGGGAGAAGGCACGCUGAUAUGUAGGUGAAGUCCCUCGCGGAUGGAGCUGAAAUCAGUCGAAGAUACCAGCUGGCUGCAACUGUUUAUUAAAAACACAGCACUGUGCAAACACGAAAGUGGACGUAUACGGUGUGACGCCUGCCCGGUGCCGGAAGGUUAAUUGAUGGGGUUAGCGCAAGCGAAGCUCUUGAUCGAAGCCCCGGUAAACGGCGGCCGUAACUAUAACGGUCCUAAGGUAGCGAAAUUCCUUGUCGGGUAAGUUCCGACCUGCACGAAUGGCGUAAUGAUGGCCAGGCUGUCUCCACCCGAGACUCAGUGAAAUUGAACUCGCUGUGAAGAUGCAGUGUACCCGCGGCAAGACGGAAAGACCCCGUGAACCUUUACUAUAGCUUGACACUGAACAUUGAGCCUUGAUGUGUAGGAUAGGUGGGAGGCUUUGAAGUGUGGACGCCAGUCUGCAUGGAGCCGACCUUGAAAUACCACCCUUUAAUGUUUGAUGUUCUAACGUUGACCCGUAAUCCGGGUUGCGGACAGUGUCUGGUGGGUAGUUUGACUGGGGCGGUCUCCUCCUAAAGAGUAACGGAGGAGCACGAAGGUUGGCUAAUCCUGGUCGGACAUCAGGAGGUUAGUGCAAUGGCAUAAGCCAGCUUGACUGCGAGCGUGACGGCGCGAGCAGGUGCGAAAGCAGGUCAUAGUGAUCCGGUGGUUCUGAAUGGAAGGGCCAUCGCUCAACGGAUAAAAGGUACUCCGGGGAUAACAGGCUGAUACCGCCCAAGAGUUCAUAUCGACGGCGGUGUUUGGCACCUCGAUGUCGGCUCAUCACAUCCUGGGGCUGAAGUAGGUCCCAAGGGUAUGGCUGUUCGCCAUUUAAAGUGGUACGCGAGCUGGGUUUAGAACGUCGUGAGACAGUUCGGUCCCUAUCUGCCGUGGGCGCUGGAGAACUGAGGGGGGCUGCUCCUAGUACGAGAGGACCGGAGUGGACGCAUCACUGGUGUUCGGGUUGUCAUGCCAAUGGCACUGCCCGGUAGCUAAAUGCGGAAGAGAUAAGUGCUGAAAGCAUCUAAGCACGAAACUUGCCCCGAGAUGAGUUCUCCCUGACCCUUUAAGGGUCCUGAAGGAACGUUGAAGACGACGACGUUGAUAGGCCGGGUGUGUAAGCGCAGCGAUGCGUUGAGCUAACCGGUACUAAUGAACCGUGAGGCUUAACCUUACAACGCCGAAGGUGUUU